UAGGGAAUCUUCCGCAAUGGACGAAAGUCUGACGGAGCGACGCCGCGUGAGUGAUGAAGGUUUUCGGAUCGUAAAACUCUGUUAUUAGGGAAGAACAAAUGCGUAAGUAACUGUGCGCAUCUUGACGGUACCUAAUCAGAAAGCCACGGCUAACUACGUGCCAGCAGCCGCGGUAAUACGUAGGUGGCAAGAGUUAUCCGGAAUUAUUGGGCGUAAAGCGCGCGUAGGCGGUUUCUUAAGUCUGAUGUGAAAGCCCACGGCUCAACCGUGGAGGGUCAUUGGAAACUGGGAAACUUGAGUACAGAAGAGGAAAGUGGAAUUCCAUGUGUAGCGGUGAAAUGCGCAGAGAUAUGGAGGAACACCAGUGGCGAAGGCGACUUUCUGGUCUGUAACUGACGCUGAUGUGCGAAAGCGUGGGGAUCAAACA
Molecule: ribosomal RNA, 427 nt
Filed under: uncultured bacterium
Lineage: Bacteria
Description: partial 16S ribosomal RNA
Rfam family: Bacterial small subunit ribosomal RNA
Source: RNAcentral